RNAcentral lists this ribosomal RNA (397 nucleotides) under uncultured bacterium. Its description in RNAcentral is "partial 16S ribosomal RNA". It matches the Rfam family "Bacterial small subunit ribosomal RNA", at positions 523 to 918 of the family's 1533-position model. The record is from RNAcentral.
AUACGUAGGGGGCGAGCGUUGUCCGGAAUGAUUGGGCGUAAAGGGCGCGUAGGCGGCGCGGUAAGUCUGGAGUGAAAGUCCUGCUUUCAAGGUGGGAAUUGCUUUGGAUACUGCCGCGCUUGAGUGCAGGAGAGGUUAUCGGAAUUCCCGGUGUAGCGGUGAAAUGCGUAGAGAUCGGGAGGAACACCAGUGGCGAAGGCGGGUAACUGGACUGCAACUGACGCUGAGGCGCGAAAGUGUGGGUAGCAAACAGGAUUAGAUACCCUGGUAGUCCACACUGUAAACGAUGAAUGCUAGGUGUUAGAGGUAUCGACCCCUUUUGUGCCGGAGUCAACACAAUAAGCAUUCCGCCUGGGGAGUACGGCCGCAAGGUUGAAACUCAAAUGAAUUGACGGGG